CCUACGGGAGGCAGCAGUGGGGGAUAUUGCACAAUGGGGGGAACCCUGAUGCAGCGACGCCGCGUGGGUGAAGGAGUAUUUCGGUAUGUAAAGCCCUAUCAGCAGGGAAGAACAAUGACGGUACCUGACUAAGAAGCACCGGCUAACUACGUGCCAGCAGCCGCGGUAAUACGUAGGGUGCAAGCGUUAUCCGGAUUUACUGGGUGUAAAGGGAGCGCAGGCGGGGGGUUAAGUCUGGUGUGAAAGCCCGCGGCUUAACCGUGGGACUUCAUUGGAGACUGGGGCGCUAGAGGGCUGGAGGGGUAGGCGGAAUGCCUAGUGUAGCGGUGAAAUGCGUAGAUAUUAGGAGGAACACCGGUGGCGAAGGCGGCCUACUGGACGGUAACUGACGUUGAGGCUCGAAAGCGUGGGGAGCAAACAGGAUUAGAUACCCCUGUAGGC
Molecule: ribosomal RNA, 441 nt
Filed under: uncultured bacterium
Lineage: Bacteria
Description: partial 16S ribosomal RNA
Rfam family: Bacterial small subunit ribosomal RNA
Source: RNAcentral